Molecule: ribosomal RNA, 274 nt
Filed under: uncultured bacterium
Lineage: Bacteria
Description: partial 16S ribosomal RNA
Rfam family: Bacterial small subunit ribosomal RNA
Source: RNAcentral
CUACGGAGGGGGUUAGCGUUGUUCGGAAUUACUGGGCGUAAAGCGUACGUAGGCGGACUGGAAAGUUGGGGGUGAAAUCCCGGGGCUCAACCCCGGAACUGCCUCCAAAACUUCCAAUCUAGAGAUCGAGAGAGGUGAGUGGAAUUCCAAGUGUAGAGGUGAAAUUCGUAGAUAUUUGGAGGAACACCAGUGGCGAAGGCGGCUCACUGGCUCGAUACUGACGCUGAGGUACGAAAGCGUGGGGAGCAAACAGGAUUAGAAACCCCAGUAGUCC